ACUUACCUGAAUAAUAUGGUCAAUCAUAUUUUAAUUAGAUCACUUAAUGAUUGGGCUUGACCUAUGCUAACUAGAAAAUCAAUAUGACUGAUUUAGGUGCCCCUAGUCUAACUUAUUUUGAGUCCUCUUCCAACUUGGUAAAGUCAGUGGGAGGAUUUAUGACUCACUGGGGGGACCAGAUUAAACCUAAUCUCUUUUAAUCUGACUUGGUGAAGUUAGUGAGAGGAUUAAGAAUAACUGAUCGAAUUUUUUUUCAUCUAUCAACUCAAUUAAUUAAAUCAUCUAAAAUUAUUA
RNAcentral lists this long non-coding RNA (294 nucleotides) under Elaeis guineensis (African oil palm). RNAcentral's name for it is "long non-coding RNA (EGUI_LNC048363)". The record is from RNAcentral. Lineage: Eukaryota; Viridiplantae; Streptophyta; Magnoliopsida; Arecales; Arecaceae.